ACGACCAUUACUUUGAAAAACAGAGAGAAAAGAAAACCAAAAACCAUUUCUUGGCUGGUUUGAAGAAAUUCUAAGGAGAUCCAAGUGAAAUCAAAGCCAAAGAAGUGGAUUAAGCUUAGUUCUAGCCUUUUUAUGAUAUUUCUUGGUGGUUUCCAAGUGGUUUGAGGUUUAGAAAAUCUAGAAGAGAUUGUUUUCGUCGAAAAGUUGCUCGGAUAAGCACAUCAACACCUAAGACACCACUUGUUACACGGUGAAUUAUAUUUUGGACAGAAGGUAGAGAAAGAAAUGAGUGAAUGACAUAAGGAGAACUGAAGCAUGGUCCUAACCCUGAUUUGUACAUAUGAACACAUCGACCUUUUGCGGGUUAUUUCAGUUUACCAAUGUGAUAUUUGUAAUAAAGUGUGAAGUUAUGUUUUGAAAACAAAUUGGGUUAUUUAAUAUGUAAUAUGUUUGAGACACACUUUAUGUUUAAUGUAAAUAAUGUGAAAUAAGUUUUCAAGUUUUAAAAAAAAAAAUAUGUCCAGACUUCCGUAGUAAUAAAUUAUGAUAUAGUUUUAAAACGUAACACCUCAGAUAUGGUUUUAACUAAAAUAAGUGAGGGUGUUACAACUAUUGCCUUUCUAAACCCUAUUAUAGCCGAAAUAUUGAACCCCCUCAAGCCAAUAUAUAGCCGAAAUCUACCCAAGUAUCAAAACUCUUGGUGUUGUUGUUGGAGAUAGACAUUAGAGAGAAGACUCAUGAUUUCAUCAUUUUGGUUCUAGGUUGAAGGUAUGAUUUUAUGAGGUUUAGAAAAUUCUUGAAAGUAUAGUUUUAUUAUAAGGCUCUAAUAUAUAUAUCUUAUGUUGUAUUUAAGGUUGAUUGGACGUUUUCUAUAGCAAACAAUCUCUUAUCCUUUUUUUUUCUCUCCAUAUUCAAGGUAAGGAAAAUAAGUUAGAUUUUAUGUUCUAUGUGUUUGUUUGUAUGUUUUUUUUAUGACUUUUAGUCACUUGGGAAAUAUGGUUGCUUAGAUAGCAAAUCCUGAGAAUUUUUUUAUCAUUAUCGUAGACUAUAGUUGUGUCUAAACCUACCUCUAAAAUAGUAGAUAAGAGGACUAUAGCGGUUUCUAUCACAUACUACGGUAAUGAGUUAGUGGCCAUUAAUAUUGUAGUCCAUUUUUAUGUUUUAUGUUUUAGUAGUUUUUCUUAUUGGGCAUUAGACUCAUUCCUUUUUAUUUAGAUUGUGCAUGUAAAUGAACCUGGAAGGUGGGACGGAUUUGAGGCAGCUUUGGCUUGUGUAUUGGGCGAGGAACUUAAGGAAUGAACCGAUGGGAUCGAUCGAGGAUGAUGUUGAUAUUUUAAGUUUUUUUAGUUAUGUCUUUAUGAUUUCCGCAUUUAGUACUUGAAUAUUUAGAUAAAUAUUUUAUUUUCUUUAUGAUUUUAUGU
Long non-coding RNA from Humulus lupulus (European hop), 1421 nucleotides. RefSeq lists it as uncharacterized. NCBI's taxonomy places the organism in Eukaryota, Viridiplantae, Streptophyta, Magnoliopsida, Rosales, Cannabaceae. The transcript has 4 exons. The record is from RefSeq and is a predicted model, not a curated record.